Molecule: long non-coding RNA, 1662 nt
Filed under: Haliotis rubra (blacklip abalone)
Lineage: Eukaryota; Metazoa; Mollusca; Gastropoda; Lepetellida; Haliotidae
Description: uncharacterized LOC124261440
Source: RNAcentral
GCUCACGCUGUUGAUCACUGGAAUGUCUGGUCCGACUCGAUUAUUUACAGCUCGCCGACAUAUAGCUGGAAUAUUGCUGAGUGCGGCGUUAAACAACAACCAAACCAAAUACUCCGGAAUUGGGGUAAAUAUUAGUUGAUGCGCACAUAAAAUGUGUAUUUACUGAAGGCUGGCGCGCAAGUGAAUAGUUGAAUUAUUUUAACUUUGACCAACAUAUUUCUAAUGAAGACCAGUGGAGGUAUUCUGUUGGGAUGCACGUCCAGGUCGAUAUGCCAUGUGAAGUUAGUAUGAAGUUCCUUCAUAAAGGAACCAAGAGGUGUCAUCAUUUUCAGCUUCGGCGUAUAGCAUUAUAAUACACAUACAUACGUGUCAGGAUUCAUACAUUGGCAACGUAUUCUGUCAUGGAUUGUUCGUAAUAUGAGUAUCCCCGUUAAGUGGUAUGCAAUCGUAUGUGAAUAUAGUAUGUAAGUGAGUGAGUAUGCUGACACUAUCAACAAUUACGGACUUUCAUCUGUUUUUUGGUAGUAGGUACUAGGUACCUGCUUUCCGCUUUUAAAGAAAUGUACAUAAUCAUAUGCAUUGUGUGAUUACGUGGUUGCAGUUGUGCUUACAGUCAAUGUAUCUAUUUAAUUUGUUUUAUAAGUCAAUUAUUACUUUAAGUAGCGAGGAAUACAGUCGCUAUAUGAAGAUCCGGGUUAGGAUUGGUCUUCAAAAUCCCAUGCUUGUUGUAAGAUGCUUGUUGGUCAGGCUCAUUAACUUGGGUGAAACGUGUUAUCAUAUCCCAAUAUAUUCCACUUGUGUAGAUCGAUGCGCACGAUGUUGAUCACUGGAUUGUCUUGUCCAGACUCGAUAAUUUACGGACCGCCGCCAUAUAGCUGGAAUAUUGCUGAGUGCGGCGUAAAAAACAAAAACAGCAACACUACUCCAAACAGCCACAUAUGUUACAUGCUCAUGUUCCCCUGAGAGAUAAAAAUUAAAAGAAGCGGAAAAGGACGCCCACAUCAACAGGAUAAGCCUAUUUCAAAUAGUAACUGAUUACAUCGCUGUUUUUCAGUGUGUUGAGCCAGAAUAAAGGUGACAUUAGCCUUCAAAAUUUCUAGUGUCAUUGUGCGAUAUCACUUUGUUGUUUUACAUGUAGUUUUUUGGUUAGCUGUUUGUAGUGUGCUGCAUAUGGAGAUUUUCUGUUCAGACAAGGUUCUCUUUUGAACCUUUGCUUUUUAUGACAUAGACCUCUCAACUCCAAAUUCCACAAAAGUGAAAUACAUGUAUGAUGACAUUUUGUAAAGUUAUUUCUAUUUCGUUAUAUAUAUGUUACUUGAAAAAAACAAUCAUAGUUUUCUGCGGAAAUUGAUCCAUCUUCUUGGAUCAUACCGUAAGUGAUGUAUCAGAGGGUAUGUCUGAAAUAAUCGUUGACUCUGCUUAUACUUUGUCCGGAUUUGUUUGCAUUUCAAGUUGUAAAUCUAUCCAUGUAUUUUAUUUUCUACUCUAAUCAUUUACAAUUAACUGUAAAAACAUGUUAUUUGACCUACAAUCCACAUUCUAGGUGUUGACAAGUAUCAGACGUUGUACUCUGUAACAUAAUUGAUGUGUAUACAUUGUAUUUGGCAUGUUUUUUGUGUUGUCAUUAUUACAUCGUACAUCAAUACAAAAGCAAACUGCAUA